ACUCCUACGGGAGGCAGUAGUGGGGAAUUUUGGACAAUGGGCGAAAGCCUGAUCCAGCCAUGCCGCGUGCAGGAUGAAGGCCUUCGGGUUGUAAACUGCUUUUGUACGGAACGAAACGGCCUUUUCUAAUAAAGAGGGCUAAUGACGGUACCGUAAGAAUAAGCACCGGCUAACUACGUGCCAGCAGCCGCGGUAAUACGUAGGGUGCAAGCGUUAAUCGGAAUUACUGGGCGUAAAGCGUGCGCAGGCGGUUAUGUAAGACAGUUGUGAAAUCCCCGGGCUCAACCUGGGAACUGCAUCUGUGACUGCAUAGCUAGAGUACGUUAGAGGGGGAUGGAAUUCCGCGUGUAGCAGUGAAAUGCGUAGUUAUGCGGAGGAACACCGAUGGCGAAGGCAAUCCCCUGGACCUGUACUGACGCUCAUGCACGAAAGCGUGGGGAGCAAACGGGAUUAGAAACCCCAGUAGUCCCAUGA
RNAcentral lists this ribosomal RNA (474 nucleotides) under uncultured organism. RNAcentral describes it as "partial 16S ribosomal RNA". It matches the Rfam family "Bacterial small subunit ribosomal RNA", at positions 335 to 800 of the family's 1533-position model. The record is from RNAcentral.